This 68-nucleotide transfer RNA is filed under the name Heterodoxus spiniger. RNAcentral describes it as "tRNA-Leu". Lineage: Eukaryota; Metazoa; Arthropoda; Insecta; Psocodea; Boopidae. The record is from RNAcentral.
UUCAUUUUAGCAAAUUCGUGCGUUAAUUUUAGGAAUUAAAGAGACAUGUUUCAGGCAUGUAAAUGAAA